Molecule: long non-coding RNA, 348 nt
Organism: Vombatus ursinus (common wombat)
Lineage: Eukaryota; Metazoa; Chordata; Mammalia; Diprotodontia; Vombatidae
Exons: 2
Source: RefSeq, a predicted model, not a curated record
UACAGACAGCUAUGAGGAGUGCCAGGGUGCUCUGAGGCUUGGCUGGUGGAUCACAAUGGAGAAUUCAGGCUAGUGAUCUUGACUCAGCUGAAUCGUCUUGAGGUGUUUUCAAUGUUUAUCCUUGUCGAAUAUCCUUCUUCUGCAAUGGCUAAGUGCUGCAAAGAAUGAAUCAUCUGUCAGAGGAGAAGAGUGCAGUGAGUGUCCUAGCUCUAGAGAAGUUCUCUAGCCAUCUGGCUCCCCUUCUCUGCCCCAUUUGUUCCCAAUGUGGGCUGCCAUCUUGCAGACUGGACUCCUGAAUAAAAGCAAGUCACUAAUAAAUGAAUGAGAUCCUUCUCAAGUCAACAGUCA